Molecule: ribosomal RNA, 258 nt
Filed under: uncultured Lactobacillus sp.
Lineage: Bacteria; Bacillati; Bacillota; Bacilli; Lactobacillales; Lactobacillaceae
Description: partial 16S ribosomal RNA
Rfam family: Bacterial small subunit ribosomal RNA
Source: RNAcentral
UGGGUGAGUAACGCGUGGGUAACCUGCCCUUAAGUCUGGGAUACCAUUUGGAAACAGAUGCUAAUACCGGAUAAAAGCUACUUUAGCAUGAAAGAAGUUUAAAAGGCGGCGUAAGCUGUCGCUAAAGGAUGGACCUGCGAUGCAUUAGCUAGUUGGUAAGGUAACGGCUUACCAAGGCGAUGAUGCAUAGCCGAGUUGAGAGACUGAUCGGCCACAUUGGGACUGAGACACGGCCCAAACUCCUACGGGAGGCAGCAA